GGUUCCCUGGGUUCUCUGUCAUGUUCUUGCUAGUUGUAGAAAGUGGCUCUGCCUGCCUGCCUGCCUGCCUGCCUGCCUGCCUGCCUGCCUGCCUGUCUGUCUGUCUGUCUAUUUUAAGUUGUGUGACUGUUUAGUUUGGUCUUUUGCGUUUUGUUGUGUGUUUUUAGUUCAUUCUGUAUUGCAGAGUCCUGCGUUUUUGGGUUCACAAAUCUGUCUGCCGCACACCUACACCUGCAUGUAUGAUGCAUAUAUGAUGUGGGUUUUUAUCAAGUUAUUUGUGAAUAUUUGUGAUCCUCUGAAAUUUUGAUGCAGAUAUGAAAGAUUUGAUUAAACUUAUCUGUUUUCUAAUUAAGGCCUAAAGGACGUUCAGGUCAGCAUGUGUUUGUCCUGUCUUCACUCACUUACACCCAAACAGUCAUGGAAGAUGGCUGCACCCUCCCUGAGCCUGGGUCUGCUGGAGGUUUCCGCCUGUUAAAAGGAAGUUUUUCCUUCCUGCUGUCGCCAAAGUGCUUGCUCAUAAGGGGUCAUAUGAUUGUGGCUUAAGAGUGAUAUCUCACUGAAUGUCAUCUGGGUAGUAGUGAUAAGAAAUGUCAUUAGAAGUAAUCAAAAUUUGCUGAAGAAGAACCUAUAUAACAGAAAUUGCAAAGGCCCCAAAACAGCACCUUGUGGCACACCAUAUUCAAGAGAAGCGAAUUUAAGAACAGCCACAGAAAAGAAAUGAUCCAAAGCAGACUCCAGUAUGCCCAGCAAGUAUGCCAGUCCUUUGAGAAUAAUAUGAUGGUCAGCAGUAUAAAAGGCAGAGGUCAGCUCUAGCAUCAGCAAAUGAUGCAGGACAUUUGUUUGCAGGACAUUGCAAGAGUCCUGCAAACGUGACCUCUGUGGAAGGCAGUA
This is a long non-coding RNA of Oreochromis niloticus (Nile tilapia), 891 nucleotides long. RefSeq lists it as uncharacterized. NCBI's taxonomy places the organism in Eukaryota, Metazoa, Chordata, Actinopteri, Cichliformes, Cichlidae. The transcript has 2 exons. The record is from RefSeq and is a predicted model, not a curated record.